This 85-nucleotide transfer RNA is filed under the name Bacteroidetes bacterium RIFCSPHIGHO2_02_FULL_44_7. RNAcentral describes it as "tRNA-Leu". It matches the Rfam family "tRNA". From Rfam's summary of the family: Transfer RNA (tRNA) molecules are approximately 80 nucleotides in length. Their secondary structure includes four short double-helical elements and three loops (D, anti-codon, and T loops). Lineage: Bacteria; Pseudomonadati; Bacteroidota. The record is from RNAcentral.
GCCCGGGUGGCGGAACUGGUAGACGCGCUGGAUUCAAAAUCCUGUGCCUUCGGGCGUGCCGGUUCGAUUCCGGCCCCGGGUACAA